UCCUCCAAGGCUAAAUACUCCUGACUGACCGAUAGUGAACCAGUACCGUGAGGGAAAGGCGAAAAGAACCCCGGCGAGGGGAGUGAAAAAGAACCUGAAACCGUGUACGUACAAGCAGUGGGAGCACCCUUUGGGGUGUGACUGCGUACCUUUUGUAUAAUGGGUCAGCGACUUAUAUUCUGUAGCAAGGUUAACCGUAUAGGGGAGCCGU
RNAcentral lists this ribosomal RNA (211 nucleotides) under Salmonella enterica subsp. enterica serovar Senftenberg. RNAcentral describes it as "partial 23S ribosomal RNA". It matches the Rfam family "Bacterial large subunit ribosomal RNA", at positions 456 to 669 of the family's 2925-position model. Lineage: Bacteria; Pseudomonadati; Pseudomonadota; Gammaproteobacteria; Enterobacterales; Enterobacteriaceae. The record is from RNAcentral.